Molecule: transfer RNA, 74 nt
Filed under: Johnius amblycephalus (bearded croaker)
Lineage: Eukaryota; Metazoa; Chordata; Actinopteri; Sciaenidae
Description: tRNA-Pro
Rfam family: tRNA
About the family: Transfer RNA (tRNA) molecules are approximately 80 nucleotides in length. Their secondary structure includes four short double-helical elements and three loops (D, anti-codon, and T loops). Further hydrogen bonds mediate the characteristic L-shaped molecular structure. tRNAs have two regions of fundamental functional importance: the anti-codon, which is responsible for specific mRNA codon recognition, and the 3' end, to which the tRNAs corresponding amino acid is attached (by aminoacyl-tRNA synthetases). tRNAs cope with the degeneracy of the genetic code in two manners: having more than one tRNA (with a specific anti-codon) for a particular amino acid; and 'wobble' base-pairing, i.e. permitting non-standard base-pairing at the 3rd anti-codon position.
Source: RNAcentral
CAGAAAGUAGUUUAAUUAUUUAAGAAUAUUAGCUUUGGGGGCUAGUGGUGGGGGUUAGACUCUCCUCUUUCUGA